GGUCAGACAUAUGGAUGUGCUAUCAUGAACUUGAUCAGUCGAAUAUCAUAUCUACUGAUUUAGAAGAGAUCUAAAUCUAAAUCCUUUCACUAAAUAUUAAGUCUAGAGGUCUUCCAUCAUUGUAGAGAUGUGGAUGCCUUUCUGAUGUUGAUCGUUCUCAACUGAUUAUAGUGGUUCGGUUGUAUCAAAAAAAUAUAAUAACUCU
RNAcentral lists this long non-coding RNA (205 nucleotides) under Elaeis guineensis (African oil palm). RNAcentral's name for it is "long non-coding RNA (EGUI_LNC014658)". Lineage: Eukaryota; Viridiplantae; Streptophyta; Magnoliopsida; Arecales; Arecaceae. The record is from RNAcentral.